This 427-nucleotide ribosomal RNA is filed under the name uncultured bacterium. RNAcentral's name for it is "bacterial SSU rRNA". It matches the Rfam family "Bacterial small subunit ribosomal RNA", at positions 355 to 774 of the family's 1533-position model. The record is from RNAcentral.
UGGGGAAUUUUGGACAAUGGGCGCAAGCCUGAUCCAGCAAUGCCGCGUGCAGGAUGAAGGCCUUCGGGUUGUAAACUGCUUUUGUACGGAGCGAAAAGGUCUGCCCUAAUACGGUGGGCUCAUGACGGUACCGUAAGAAUAAGCACCGGCUAACUACGUGCCAGCAGCCGCGGUAAUACGUAGGGUGCGAGCGUUAAUCGGAAUUACUGGGCGGAAAGCGUGCGCAGGCGGUUAUAUAAGACAGAGGUGAAAUCCCCGGGCUCAACCUGGGACCUGCAUUUGUGACUGUAUAGUGAGAGUACGGUAGAAGGGGAUGGAAUUCCGCGUGUAGCAGUGAAAUGUGUAGAUAUGCGGGGGAACACCGAUGGCGAAGGCAACCCCCGGGACCUGUACUGACGCUCAUGCACGAAAGCGUGGGGAGCAAACA